CGUACAGGCGUAACUACACUAGCAAGUCGAGGGGAAACGGGCGAUUUGGUUGCUUGUCACCGGACUGGACGUCGACCGGCGGCACGGUCGAGUAACACGUAUCCAACCUUCCCACUGACUGCGGGAUAACCUGCCGAAAGGCUGACUAAUACCGCAUGUUCUUCCCUGAAGACAUCUGAGGGGAAGCAAAGAUUCAUCGGUCAUGGCUGGGGAUGCGUCCGAUUAGCUUGUUGGCGGGGCAACGGCCCACCAAGGCGACGAUCGGUAGGGGUUCUGAGAGGAAGGUCCCCCACAUUGGAACUGAGACACGGUCCAAACUCCUACGGGAGGCAGCAGUGAGGAAUAUUGGUCAAUGGGCGCAAGCCUGAACCAGCCAAGUAGCGUGCAGGAUGACGGCCCUAUGGGUUGUAAACUGCUUUUUUGCGGGAAUAAAGUCGGCUACGUGUAGCCGUUUGCAUGUACCGCACGAAUAAGAACCGGCUAAUUCCGUG
This 491-nucleotide ribosomal RNA is filed under the name uncultured Prevotellaceae bacterium. Its description in RNAcentral is "bacterial SSU rRNA". It matches the Rfam family "Bacterial small subunit ribosomal RNA", at positions 39 to 507 of the family's 1533-position model. Lineage: Bacteria; Pseudomonadati; Bacteroidota; Bacteroidia; Bacteroidales; Prevotellaceae. The record is from RNAcentral.